ACCAUAUUUGGACCGUCGGUCUGCGAAGCAAUUUCACCCGCUCGAUGGAAGAUCUUCCUUUUGUGGU
Molecule: microRNA precursor, 67 nt
Filed under: Bombyx mori (domestic silkworm)
Lineage: Eukaryota; Metazoa; Arthropoda; Insecta; Lepidoptera; Bombycidae
Description: mir-2774 microRNA precursor family
Rfam family: mir-2774 microRNA precursor family
Source: Rfam by way of RNAcentral